AACGAACGCUGGCGGCAUGCCUAACACAUGCAAGUCGAACGAGGUCUUCGGGUCUAGUGGCGCACGGGUGCGUAACGCGUGGGAAUCUGCCCUUUGGUUCGGAAUAACAGUUGGAAACGACUGCUAAUACCGGAUGAUGACGAAAGUCCAAAGAUUUAUCGCCAGAGGAUGAGCCCGCGUAGGAUUAGCUAGUUGGUGUGGUAAAGGCGCACCAAGGCGACGAUCCUUAGCUGGUCUGAGAGGAUGAUCAGCCACACUGGGACUGAGACACGGCCCAGACUCCUACGGGAGGCAGCAGUGGGAAAUAUUGGACAAUGGGCGGAAGCCUGAUCCAACAAUGCCGCGUGAGUGAUGAAGGCCUUAGGGUUGUAAAGCUCUUUUACCCGGGAUGAUAAUGACAGUACCGGGAGAAUAAGCUCCAGCUAACUCCGUGCCAGCCGCCGCGGUAA
RNAcentral lists this ribosomal RNA (449 nucleotides) under uncultured bacterium. Its description in RNAcentral is "partial 16S ribosomal RNA". It matches the Rfam family "Bacterial small subunit ribosomal RNA", at positions 29 to 523 of the family's 1533-position model. The record is from RNAcentral.